AGAAAAUAAGCAAUUUUUCAGUAAUAGUGUGCUGUGCCACUUUUGUAUGUUUAUGACUCAUUUUGUACGCAAGUGGUUUUUAAGGGAGCUGAAACUUGGGAGUACACAAGACAAAUCAGACUCCUGAAAGGGGUACAGUGGCCUGGAAAGAUUGAGAACCACUGUUCUAGAGUUUCAGAGUAGCAGCCGUGUUAGUCUGUAUCCGCAAAAAGA
Chelonia mydas (Green sea turtle) is the source of this 213-nucleotide long non-coding RNA. RefSeq lists it as uncharacterized. NCBI's taxonomy places the organism in Eukaryota, Metazoa, Chordata, Testudines, Cheloniidae. The record is from RefSeq and is a predicted model, not a curated record. The transcript is spliced from 3 exons.